GACCACCGUGCGGGUCUGCGGACAGCCAGGCUUUCCCGGGAACAGAAUUCCGCAGCCUGAACAAGCGGCGGAAUUGGAGCAUCCGAGAAACUAGGUCUUAACCUGUGCCGGAGUUGCCCUCGCUCUGAGCCUCAGCCUCGGUGCCCGCGGAGAGCAAAGCGCUCUGGGCACUGUAUACAGAAGUUCCGAGGGGACGCGGGUGUUCCCUGCACGGUCCCCUGCCCCCGUUCAGACCUCUGGCCCUGAAGUCUCAGAGAUGCAAGGAAGAGGGUGGCCCGAGCCUCCAGAGAUUCCCAGCCAGGGUCGCAGGAUAACGCGCGGGAAAACACGGGCCUGGAGCACCGCGCUCUCCCGGCGUCGGGCGGAAAGAGAAGAGCAGAAGGGGCCGGAGCGCGGCGGUCGUGGCUAUUGGCGAGACCCGGGAGGCAAAGCGCGUGGAGAGGGGACGCGUGGGAACCGCAGAGGAUAGCGGAGAGCAGCCGGCUCCGGAACGUCUGACUGCGAGCCCCGGCGGUCGUGCGCGCGAGUAACAAAGUGGAACGACCUUCCCUGACCUCAUUUUCAUGACGGCGCGAGCACACCCGGAGCCGGCUACGCACAUUCCGGAGCAGGCGCGCGCCGACACUCACACACUCACACUGGCGCACACACACACACACACACACACACACACACGAGACCCGGGCUGCUGGACCCUGCCCAUGCUUGAGUUCACACCAGCUCCGCCACUGUUCUGGGCACUGCCGGGGCUGUGGACGCUCAAAGAAUAGAUUCUCAUUAGCAUCUUGCUUUGAAUAUCAUUUGCAUUUUAUUCAUUUCAUGUCAAAACGCUCAGAACUCUCCCCAGCCCUCACCUCUCCCCAGAGCUGGAGAG
Long non-coding RNA from Canis lupus familiaris (dog), 874 nucleotides. RefSeq lists it as uncharacterized. The record is from RefSeq and is a predicted model, not a curated record. Lineage: Eukaryota; Metazoa; Chordata; Mammalia; Carnivora; Canidae. The transcript has 4 exons.